This 365-nucleotide ribosomal RNA is filed under the name uncultured eukaryote. RNAcentral describes it as "partial 18S ribosomal RNA". It matches the Rfam family "Eukaryotic small subunit ribosomal RNA", at positions 592 to 976 of the family's 1831-position model. The record is from RNAcentral.
CAAUAGCGUAUAUUAAAGUUGUUGCAGUUAAAAAGCUCGUAGUUGAAUUUCUGGCGGGCGCGCCGGUCUCCAAGUGUUGUACUGGGCGCAGUCCGCCAUCCUUGUGGAGAGGGCUCGCAUUGAGUUGCGUGUCGGAUCUGCAUCAUUUACUGUGAAAAAAUUAGAGUGUUUAAAGCAGGCUGUCGCUUGAAUACAUUAGCAUGGAAUAAUAAGAUAGGACUUCGGUCUAUUUUGUUGGUUGCGAACCGAGGUAAUGAUUAAUAGGGAUAGUUGGGGGUAUUCAUAUUUAAUUGUCAGAGGUGAAAUUCUUGGAUUUAUGAAAGAUGAACAACUGCGAAAGCAUUUACCAAGGAUGUUUNCAUUAA